Piliocolobus tephrosceles (Ugandan red Colobus) is the source of this 2798-nucleotide long non-coding RNA. RefSeq lists it as uncharacterized. The record is from RefSeq and is a predicted model, not a curated record. The transcript is spliced from 3 exons. NCBI's taxonomy places the organism in Eukaryota, Metazoa, Chordata, Mammalia, Primates, Cercopithecidae.
GAGGCAUCCACAGGGGUGGCAACUUCCGGGUGGUGUGUGUGGGUUAGUCUGCGGGGGUGUGGGGGCUCCCGUGGGUAUCUGGGGGCGUCCGUGGGGUUCCUGUGAUCUCUUUGGGCAGCGUUACCUGAUCUCAUCAAUGGGCUGCUUGCGGAACAUGUGUCUCCAGCCUGCCCACGUCUUCUUCAGGUGUCCCUCCCCCUGGCUCGGGUGACAGGGAGUGAGAGCCGCCAUCCCAGGGUCCCACCCCGAGGCCCUCUCCCGGCUGCCCAUUCCUCACCUUGUGCAGGGGGAACCUGGCCUCGAAGACCCCGUCCUUCACCAGAUCCUCGAAGGUCUCUGUGGGUCACAGGGACUCAGGAGUCAGGGGCAGUGAGGUGCUGGGAGGAGGCCGCCCACGGCGCCCGGUCGGUGCCCCAGCCCUGCCCUCACCGCCAGCCGAGGUCUUGGUCUUCAUGACAACGAAGUUCACGAUUCGGAUUCUGAGAUUCAGAAGCCAGAGCAGGAGACUGGGGCUCAGGAAGGGGAAUGUCCCGAGGCCACACAGCCACGAAGCAGCACAACCAGGUGUCCGACGGCAGAGCCGGGCUCCAAGCCUCCCCCUGCGCCUAGAGACAUGGCUCCUGGACCCCAGGGCACCCCAGGGCACGCGCCCCCUCAAGCCACCUCCCCUCCUUUGAUGCCCCCUCACGACCCCCCAAGACCCACAGCUCUCUGUUCACGGAUGUUCACGGAUGCCCUCCACUGCCUCGUGACCACUGCCAGGAGUGUCCUUGGCCGGUCCACAAAGCAGGCUCUGGCUGAGCCCUGCAGGGCCUGUACAGGGCUGGGCAGGUGAUGGGGGCAUGGAGGGCCAGGCUUGGAGGCUCCCUCCUGGGCUGGAGGACUGGGGAGAAGCAGGGCCUGAGGGAAUGAGCAGGCUGUCCCUGCCGGGCCUCUGGGUCUGUGCCUGGGAGGCCAGGGACAGUGUCCAGGAAGGGGCAUCAGACCUGGAGAGGAGGGGUCUUCAAGAGACACUGGCCUUGGUCCAGGAGGGGCCAUUGGGCCUCUGCAAAUCCCGCCCACCCCCUACGGCUGGCUCUGACUCUGUCCCCAGGAACGCAGGCAGCCACACGGGGCCCUCAGAACGCUCUGAGAGGUGAGAACCACCAUGAUCCUUUAUUGGGAUGGGGAAGCUGAGGCUCACACAGCCGGUGGUUCUCACACCUGUGGCCCCUGCCCUGAGACCACGCGGCUGUCCUGCCUUGGCGAUGCCCGGAGCCUGGCACUGUCUCCUGCCCAGUCUGGACCAAGCACAUGGGUGGCAAGGGGUCCUCCUGGCCACGGCUCUGGGUGCAACCUCUCACCUCGUGGCGACCGGGACGGGGGUCGGCGCAGCCAGCUCGGCGUGGGGGGUCGGCCCCUCGGGCUCCAGGAGGAGAGUGCGGUACAGGUCGAAGAUGCUGUUGUCAGCACGGAUCCCAAAGAACACCAGUUUCUGGUCCUGUAUCCUCUGGGGGUAGGGGGCACACGGGACCCUCUAUUCCACCUCCAAACCUUCCCUACCUCUGCAGCCCUGGCCCAGAGCCACGGAGCAUCCUCGCUUCUCAUGCCCCUGCUUCUCCCCAAUCCUCCAGCCCAGGAGACAGCCUCCAAGCCUGGCCCUCUGUGCUCCCGUGACCAGCCCCACGCCCCGUGCCCCUCGCUGGGCACCAGCCCACCUUGAUGUGGAAGCUCUUUCUCCUGAGCUCCUGAAGGAACUGCUGCUGCUGCACCUGCCGGGGGUCUCUCUGGGUGUGAUGAUGGGCCACGAGGACACAGUCCCACUGCUCAGAGGCCUCGGCCUGCAGGGAGGAGUCACCGGGCCAGGUGCAGCGAGAACAGCAAAGAGUCCCGAGGAGAUGGCUGUAGGCGGGUGACAGGCCAGAGGGCCAGGACCUGCUGCAAACAACCGACAAGACUGUGGAGACGGAAGCACGUGAGGGUUCCUGCAAAUGUAAAAGGGGAGAUGCAGCCCACAGAGGCCGGCGGGACUGUACGGAAGAGGAGCAUGGUGAGCAGCCGACAAGGGAGGCGUCGGGAACCCCGGAACAGCCAGGGAAACGCAGGUCAGAGGACCAGGAGACGCCGAUGCGCGGGAGAAGCCACAGGCACCCCUGCGCACUCCCGGUGCUGUGCGUAUCAGAGCACGGGUUUGGAAACCUGUUGGACUGUGUUUAAAAUCGAACACUCCCAGCCCCUGGCCCAGCCCGUCCACCCUUGGAGGUGCAGACACGGGCACUCACAGCGGCCCCGUUUCACACGAGGUUCCGGGGGCUGGGCAGACGGAUGGACACCAUGCCAUCCUCACACAGGGAGGGUCCUGCAGCAGGCGAGGUGAGUGCCUGCAGGGCACAGUGCACGGGGCUCCCGCGGGGUGACUGCCACAGGCACAUCCCAGCAGACACAGGGACACGAGAGUCUGGGGCCAGAACCUUCCGGAGGAGGGGAAUUUGCAGGGCCUCAGAGCGUCCCCCUGAUAUUUGUUAAUUACUGAGGCAGUCUCCAUGCUGUCUCUGGCUGCAUCACACCCGGUUCCUGCACCUGAGUCCUUCCCCUCUCCCAGCUGCAUCCUCGCCAAGCUCAAGACCUGCCUCCUCCAGAAAGUCUCACUUGACUGCUUGAGCCUGUUGGCCCUUGAGGGCUGCCAGGUAAAAUAGAGGCCACCCAGUCACGCUUGAUUUCCAGAUAAACAACAGAAGGAUAUAGUAUAGAUAGGGUAGGGUCGGGUCGGGUAGGAUAGGAUAGGAUAGGAUAGAUGCCCCAGUGAUUGCAUGGGAUAC